Molecule: ribosomal RNA, 419 nt
Filed under: uncultured bacterium
Lineage: Bacteria
Description: bacterial SSU rRNA
Rfam family: Bacterial small subunit ribosomal RNA
Source: RNAcentral
GGGGAAUAUUGCACAAUGGGCGCAAGCCUGAUGCAGCGACGCCGCGUGGGGGAUGACGGCCUUCGGGUUGUAAACCUCUUUCAGUAUCGGCGAAGCUCCAGGGUUUUCUUUGGGGUGACGGUAGGUACAGAAGAAGCACCGGCCAACUACGUGCCAGCAGCCGCGGUAAUACGUAGGGUGCGAGCGUUGUCCGGAAUUACUGGGCGUAAAGAGCUCGUAGGUGGUUUGUCGCGUUGUUCGUGAAAACUCACAGCUUAACUGUGGGCGUGCGGGCGAUACGGGCAGACUGGAGUACUGUAGGGGAGACUGGAAUUCCUGGUGUAGCGGUGGAAUGCGCAGAUAUCAGGAGGAACACCGGUGGCGAAGGCGGGUCUCUGGGCAGUAACUGACGCUGAGGAGCGAAAGCGUGGGGAGCGAAC